RNAcentral lists this transfer RNA (76 nucleotides) under Sphaerodactylus townsendi. RNAcentral describes it as "tRNA-Ala". It matches the Rfam family "tRNA". Rfam says of the family: Transfer RNA (tRNA) molecules are approximately 80 nucleotides in length. Their secondary structure includes four short double-helical elements and three loops (D, anti-codon, and T loops). Further hydrogen bonds mediate the characteristic L-shaped molecular structure. tRNAs have two regions of fundamental functional importance: the anti-codon, which is responsible for specific mRNA codon recognition, and the 3' end, to which the tRNAs corresponding amino acid is attached (by aminoacyl-tRNA synthetases). tRNAs cope with the degeneracy of the genetic code in two manners: having more than one tRNA (with a specific anti-codon) for a particular amino acid; and 'wobble' base-pairing, i.e. permitting non-standard base-pairing at the 3rd anti-codon position. The record is from RNAcentral. Lineage: Eukaryota; Metazoa; Chordata; Lepidosauria; Squamata; Sphaerodactylidae.
GGAGGUGGUAUGGCUCAGUGGUAAGAGCAUCUGCUUGGCUUGCGGAAGGUCCUGAGUUAAAUUCCCAGCAUUUUCA